This 648-nucleotide ribosomal RNA is filed under the name uncultured bacterium. Its description in RNAcentral is "bacterial SSU rRNA". It matches the Rfam family "Bacterial small subunit ribosomal RNA", at positions 8 to 675 of the family's 1533-position model. The record is from RNAcentral.
AGAGUUUGAUCAUGGCUCAGGAUGAACGCUGGCGGCGUGCUUGAUACAUGCAAGUCGAACGGAGAGUGUAGCAAUAUACUUUUAGUGGCGAACGGGUGAGUAACGCGUUGGUGACCUGCCCCGAAGCGAGGGAUAACAGUUCGAAAGAACUGCUAAUACCUCAUGUGAUCACCGGUUUUAGAAUCUGGUGAUUAAAGGUGAAAAUCACUUCGGGAGGGGCCUGCGUCCCAUCAGCUAGUUGGUAAGGUAAUGGCUUACCAAGGCGAUGACGGGUAGGGGACCUGAGAGGGUGGCCCCCCACAAUGGAACUGAAACACGGUCCAUACACCUACGGGUGGCAGCAGUAGGGAAUAUUGCAAAUGGGCGAAUGCCUGAUGUAGCAACGCCGCGUGUGCGAUGAAGGUCUUCGGAUUGUAAAGCACUUUUUGGAGGGAUGAGGAAGGACAGUACCUCCAGAAUAAGCCUCGGCUAACUACGUGCCAGCAGCCGCGGUAACACGUAGGAGGCAAGCGUUAUUCGGAUUUACUGGGCGUAAAGCGCGUGCAGGCGGUUUGGAAAGUUGGAUGUGAAAGCUCCUGGCUCAACUGGGAGAGGUCGUUCAAAACUUCCAGACUUGAGAGUGGGUAGAGGGAGGUGGAAUUCCGGGGU